GAUGAAGAACGUAGCGAAAUGCGAUAAGUAAUGUGAAUUGCAGAAUUCAGUGAAUCAUCGAAUCUUUGAACGCACAUUGCGCCCGCCAGUAUUCUGGCGGGCAUGCCUGUCCGAGCGUCAUUUCAACCCUCGAACCCCUCCGGGGGGUCGGCGUUGGGGACCUCGGGAGCCCCUAAGACGGGAUCCCGGCCCCGAAAUACAGUGGCGGUCUCGCCGCAGCCUCUCCUGCGCAGUAGUUUGCACAACUCGCACCGGGAGCGCGGCGCGUCCACGUCCGUAAAACACCCAACUUCUGAAAUGUUGACCUCGGAUCAGCUAGGAAUACCCGCUGAACUUAAGCAUAUCAAUAAGCGGAGGA
This 358-nucleotide unclassified non-coding RNA is filed under the name soil metagenome. RNAcentral describes it as "partial contains 5.8S ribosomal RNA, internal transcribed spacer 2, and large subunit ribosomal RNA". The stretch from base 1 to 120 matches the Rfam family "5.8S ribosomal RNA", at positions 35 to 154 of the family's 154-position model. The record is from RNAcentral.